GACGAACGCUGGCGGCGUGCUUAACACAUGCAAGUCGAACGGAAAGGCCCUGCUUUUGUGGGGUGCUCGAGUGGCGAACGGGUGAGUAACACGUGAGUAACCUGCCCUUGACUUUGGGAUAACUUCAGGAAACUGGGGCUAAUACCGGAUAGGAGCUCCUGCUGCAUGGUGGGGGUUGGAAAUUUUCGGCGGGUGGGGAUGGACUGGCGGCUUAUCAGCUUGUUGGUGGGGUAGUGGCUUACCAAGGCUUUGACGGGUAGCCGGCCUGAGAGGGUGACCGGCCACAUUGGGACUGAGAUACGGCCCAGACUCCUACGGGAGGCAGCAGUGGGGAAUAUUGCACAAUGGGCGGAAGCCUGAUGCAGCAACGCCGCGUGCGGGAUGACGGCCUUCGGGUUGUAAACCGCUUUCGCCUGUGACGAAGCGUGAGUGACGGUAAUGGGUAAAGAAGCACCGGCUAACUACGUG
This 468-nucleotide ribosomal RNA is filed under the name uncultured bacterium. RNAcentral describes it as "partial 16S ribosomal RNA". It matches the Rfam family "Bacterial small subunit ribosomal RNA", at positions 28 to 507 of the family's 1533-position model. The record is from RNAcentral.